This 497-nucleotide ribosomal RNA is filed under the name uncultured bacterium. RNAcentral describes it as "partial 16S ribosomal RNA". It matches the Rfam family "Bacterial small subunit ribosomal RNA", at positions 28 to 507 of the family's 1533-position model. The record is from RNAcentral.
GAUGAACGCUGGCGGCGUGCCUAAUACAUGCAAGUCGAGCGAACGGACGAGAAGCUUGCUUUUCUGAUGUUAGCGGCGGACGGGUGAGUAACACGUGGAUAACCUACCUAUAAGACUGGGAUAACUUCGGGAAACCGGAGCUAAUACCGGAUAAUAUUUUGAACCGCAUGGUUCAAAAGUGAAAGACGGUCUUGCUGUCACUUAUAGAUGGAUCCGCGCUGCAUUAGCUAGUUGGUAAGGUAACGGCUUACCAAGGCAACGAUGCAUAGCCGACCUGAGAGGGUGAUCGGCCACACUGGAACUGAGACGCGGUCCAGACUCCUACGGGAGGCAGCAGUAGGGAAUCUUACGCAAUGGGCGAGAGCCUGACGGAGCAACGCCGCGUGAGUGAUGAAGGUCUUCGGAUCGUAAAACUCUGUUAUUAGGGAAGAACAUAUGUGUAAGUAGCUGUGCACAUCUUGACGGUACCUAAUCAGAAAGCCACGGCUAACUACGUG